This is a long non-coding RNA of Thalassophryne amazonica, 129 nucleotides long. RefSeq lists it as uncharacterized. The transcript is spliced from 4 exons. The record is from RefSeq and is a predicted model, not a curated record. NCBI's taxonomy places the organism in Eukaryota, Metazoa, Chordata, Actinopteri, Batrachoidiformes, Batrachoididae.
CACAUAAUAACACUGUAGUCCACAUCCAUCCUGAGCGCUGUGUGUGCAAACGUGUGGUCAUCUCAGCUGCAGCAGUGGUGCUGAAUAUCCGUGAGAGUACUGCCACAUUGUUUUCAUGCACAAAACCUU